CUUUUUUCUCCUCCCCCCCGCUCCCGCCCCUCUAUAGCAGAACGUGACUUAAAAGAAGCAGGCGCUGCUCUUGAGGAAAAUCACCACUUCUGCAUUCUCUGAUCAGGGAUUGUAGUUAAUUAGUAAUUACACAAAAUGAUAUGCCAAAGUCCUAUAAUUACAAACUUAACCUUUUAUUUAAGGAGGAGGAUUGCUGGUUUUGUUCUUCGCUUGUACCCUUUCCAGCAUGCAAUUGGUGAAAGAAUGGAAGAAAGAAAGAAAGAAAAGCAGGAUCCUUAAAAGAAAAUCUGGUUUUGUUCGUGGCACUUUUAGAAUUUGUAACUGAGGUUUAGUGAUUUGCUCUUUUUUAUUCAUUUGUUUUCAUAGAGCUGCUGUUUUAUGUUACCAUUCUGUUUCGGUGGAGCCAUAAACCUCAGCGAGCUACUUGGUCCAAACAUGAAGAGGUGGUUGCUGUUUCAUUCCUUGGAAAUGAAAUGUUUAAUUAAGCUGGCAUUAGCCUGAUAUUUUUAAGUCUCUUUGGAAUGGGGAUGAUUCUUCCAAUGAAACAAGCAUCUCUGAGACUCCAGAUUUCUUGGAUGUUAUAACAUAUUUCUUUAUUAUUUGCAGAGUGGGCCCUUUCUUGAAUCACAUCCAGUUGUGUCAUGACUCCAUUAAAGACAAGUCAUACCACUGCAUCAACGACUGCGGAGCGGAUUAUCUCUUGUGGCUGAUGCAAUGAAUGGGUGUCCAAGUCCUCCAAAUGGGCAAAUAGUUGGUGUAUCAGAGACUUGUUAAAAGAGGCACAAUUUAAUUUCAGGUCACUGAAAUACAUCUGGGAAUGAUUUUUCCGAUAUGUGUGUAAACGUGAAAAGAACAAUUCCAGCCGUUUGCAUCCCUCCAGCCCGGCUACCUCAGGGGCAGGGGGAGAAAGACUCUGCUUUCCCAGCCCGCCUGGUUGCCAGUGCAGCGUGGAGAGGCCACGGAGAGAUGGAGGAGGCAGCGUUGCUGGAAGAGGUACAGCAUGAGCAGCCGACCGCAGCAGCUCAGGCGCUGAAUAAAUGAAGCGCCAGACAUUAGGCUGUCAGGUAUCAAAUCCAGGAAAAAGGCAUCAAAUAGUGAGCCCGUCUUCCAGCGGUUUCCACAUGGCCCAAUCUGGCAGAGGUUUCUUAAAACAAACACCUCCCCCACCCUCCCACAUCUCCCCAAAAAUCAAGGCUUAAUUCUGC
RNAcentral lists this long non-coding RNA (1205 nucleotides) under Struthio camelus australis. RNAcentral describes it as "lncRNA (ENSSCUG00000016809.1)". The record is from RNAcentral. Lineage: Eukaryota; Metazoa; Chordata; Aves; Struthioniformes; Struthionidae.